CAGGCCUAACACAUGCAAGUCGAGCGGCAGCGCGGGGGCAACCUGGCGGCGAGCGGCGGACGGGUGAGGAAUGCAUCGGAAUCUACCCUGUCGUGGGGGAUAACGUAGGGAAACUUACGCUAAUACCGCAUACGACCGAGAGGUGAAAGUGGGGGACCGCAAGGCCUCACGCGAUUGGAUGAGCCGAUGCCGGAUUAGCUAGUUGGUGGGGUAAAGGCCCACCAAGGGGACGAUCCGUAGCUGGUCUGAGAGGAUGAUCAGCCACACUGGGACUGAGACACGGCCCAGACUCCUACGGGAGGCAGCAGUGGGGAAUAUUGGACAAUGGGCGCAAGCCUGAUCCAGCCAUGCGGCGUGUGUGAAGAAGGCCUUCGGGUUGUAAAGCACUUUUGUUCGGGAAGAAAUCGUGCGGGUUAAUACCCUGUUAGGAUGACGGUACCCAAAGAAUAAGCACCGGCUAACUUCGUGCCAGCAGCCGCGGUA
Molecule: ribosomal RNA, 483 nt
Filed under: uncultured bacterium
Lineage: Bacteria
Description: bacterial SSU rRNA
Rfam family: Bacterial small subunit ribosomal RNA
Source: RNAcentral